RNAcentral lists this ribosomal RNA (1542 nucleotides) under Triticum aestivum (bread wheat). RNAcentral's name for it is "partial small subunit ribosomal RNA". Lineage: Eukaryota; Viridiplantae; Streptophyta; Magnoliopsida; Poales; Poaceae. The record is from RNAcentral.
AUGCAGCUCGCCCCUUUGUGCACCGACCCGUUCGUGAUAUCCUGCACCUUCGUGUGCCUCUUGCUCCUUCUAGCGCUCCCCUACCUGAACCCCAACUCCGUCACCGGCCGCCGACUUCCACCAGGAACUCGUGGCGUCCCGGUCCUCGGCGCGCUACCGCUGGUCGGCCCGGCCCCUCACUCGGGUCUCGCGGCGCUGGCGCGCAAGUAUGGUCCCGUCAUGUACCUGAGGAUGGGUACCUGCGGCGUGGUGGUGGCGUCGUCGCCCUCGGCCGCACGGACGUUCUUGAAGGCGCUGGACGAGCGGUUCGCGAACCGGCCGGUGAUGGCCAGCGCGGAGGACAUGUCGUACGGGUGCCAGAACAUGGUGUUCGCCAACUACGGGCCCAAGUGGAAGCUGUUGCGGAAGCUGUCGAGCGUGCACCUUCUCGGGGCGCGCGGGGUGGCUGACUGGGCGAGCGUGCGCCGCGACGAGGCCGGCCGCGCCCUGCGUGCCAUCCUGGAGGCCGCGGAGGCCGGGCGGCCCGUCGUCGUGCCGGAGAUGCUCGUGUGCGCGCUUGCCAACAUCGUGGGGAGGAUCACCGUGAGCAAGCGGGUGUUCGACACGCAGGGUGACGAGUCCAACACCUACAAGGAGAUGAUCAAGACGCUCCUCACCGGCACGGGGCUCUUCAACAUCAGCGACUUCGUGCCGGCGCUGUCGUGGCUGGACCUGCAGGGCGUGCAGGCCAAGCUGCUCCGGAUCCACAUCCAGUUCGACGGGCUAGUCACCAAGUGGCUGGCGGAGCACACGGCGACGUCCGAGGGCCGUGUCAGGGAGGGACGCCUGGACUUCGUGGACAAGCUCCGUGCCAUCAACGACGACGAGGGGGCCGAGACCAUCACCGAGGUCAACAUCAAGGGCCUUAUCACUGACAUGUUCACGGCCGGGACGGACACGUCGUCGAUCAUCGUGGAGUGGGCAAUGGCGGAGAUGAUCAAAAGCCCGUCUAUCAUGGCACGCGCCCAGGAGGAGAUGGACCGUGUCAUCGGUCGUGACCGCCGCCUCGAGGAAUCCGACAUUGCCAACCUCCCCUACCUGCAAGCUAUAUGCAAAGAGGCCAUGCGCCUCCACCCCCCCACGCCACUCAGCCUCCCACACUUCUCCUUUGAGGAGUGCGAGGUCGAUGGACACCAUGUCCCUGCCAACACGCGGCUCAUCAUCAACAUCUGGGCCAUCGGCCGGGACCCGGCCGCAUGGGAGGAUCCCUUGGAAUUUCGGCCAGAGCGGUUUCUGUCCGGGCCGGCGGCCAAGAUCGACCCGGUGGGGAACAAUUUUGAACUGAUCCCAUUUGGCGCCGGUAGAAGGAUAUGCGCUGGGAUGCUGGCCGGAAUGGUGUUUGUGCAGUACUUCCUGGGAAUGCUGGUGCACGCAUUUGAGUGGCGGCUGCCAGACGGAGAGGAUAAGGUGGACAUGGCUGAGACCUUCGGGCUGGCACUGCCCAAGACCGUCCCGCUUAAGGCCGUCGUCAAGCCGCGGCUUGUGCCUGCCGCAUACACAUGA